Girardinichthys multiradiatus is the source of this 567-nucleotide long non-coding RNA. RefSeq lists it as uncharacterized. NCBI's taxonomy places the organism in Eukaryota, Metazoa, Chordata, Actinopteri, Cyprinodontiformes, Goodeidae. The record is from RefSeq and is a predicted model, not a curated record. The transcript is spliced from 2 exons.
CUUCAGUUGCACAAGCCUGAACCUUUGAUUAUCUUUGUUGAACACUGUUUUUUGGCUCCAGAAGCUUCUGGACGCUCAAGUGUACCUACGUUUGGUGGAUUUCGUUUGGAUUUCGUUUCCAAGGAUCAAGCUGGCAGCUUCCUGUUAUUCUCCGACUCCAGGACCAAGGCAGAAGCGUACCCUGUCCACCCUCCAACGCAAGUACCUGAACAUUGAACUAAUUCCUGAACUUACCAGUACUCACUUUUCAGCUCAAGCAAAACCAUCUGGAUUACUUUGCUUCGCACACCUGGGUCCCGACUCUCUCUACCCCUGGCAACCUGACGGCAUUUGUUUAUUGGCGAAUUUACCCGUUCAUGUCCAAGACUCACUGGUUGUAAAUGAACACCAUUCACUUAUUCAGUUUCCUCUGAGUGUUCUUCUGCAAGUGGGUCAGAUCUAUUACAAAGAAAAGGACACAUUGUUGUUCUGCUGCUGCUUUGAAUAUGCUUUCUAACCCUUUGCAGACUGAUGGAUAUCAAUGGGUUGAUUUUUCUAUUUACAAAAUAAAAUGGAAGACAAUCUGAA